GGUUGUGGCUCAGUGGUAAAGCACUCACCUCACACGUGAGAGACCCUGGGUUUGGAUCCUCAGCACCA
Molecule: transfer RNA, 68 nt
Filed under: Marmota monax (woodchuck)
Lineage: Eukaryota; Metazoa; Chordata; Mammalia; Rodentia; Sciuridae
Description: tRNA.Val
Rfam family: tRNA
About the family: Transfer RNA (tRNA) molecules are approximately 80 nucleotides in length. Their secondary structure includes four short double-helical elements and three loops (D, anti-codon, and T loops).
Source: RNAcentral